This 8819-nucleotide long non-coding RNA is filed under the name Sus scrofa (pig). Its description in RNAcentral is "lncRNA (ENSSSCG00025049162.1)". The record is from RNAcentral. Lineage: Eukaryota; Metazoa; Chordata; Mammalia; Artiodactyla; Suidae.
AGGCAAUGCUGGAUCCUUUAACCCACUGUGCUGGGCUGGGAAUCGAACCUGUGCCUCUGCAAUGACCCAAGCCACUGCAGUCAGAGUCUUAACCCACUCCACCACAGUGGGAACUCCGGAUAAUUGUUUUUAAAAUUAGAGAAAGGCCAUCAUAAGCAGAACAGAGAGUGUGGUUCAAGAUAAAUAGCAAAUUUCCAGCUGUAUUCUAGAAAUCAAGCAUUACUAACAACUACAGUAAUAUAUGCUUUAAAAUAACUAUAAAUAAGUCUAAAUGCCAGAGCAUAUGUUUUAGCUUAGUAUAAUGGAAAAAGAAAUUUACUCUCUUCCAUGACCUACUUUUAGUUUUGUGCAUAUAAUAAUACUCUUAGAAAUUAAUAGGCAUUCUUGGAGUUCCUGUCGUGGCUCAGUGGUUAACAAAUCCAGCUGGGAACCAUGAGGUUGAGGGUUUGAUCCCUGGCCUUGCUCAGUGGGUUAAGGAUCCGGUGUUGCUGUGAGCUGUGGUGUAGGUCAGACUCGGCUUGGAUCCCACUUUGCUAUGGCUCUGGCAUAGGCUGGCAGCUACAGCUCCGAUUAGACCCCUCACCUGGGAAUCUCCAUGUGCCUUGAGGACAGCCACAGAAAAGACAAAGAGACAAAAAAAAAAAAAAUUAAUAGAAUCCUUUUUAAAAUUUUUUUUAAUUUUGGGGGGCAUUCUUAAAUGUAAUUUCAAAAAUACAUGUCAUAACAAAAUUCAAUUUUCAGACAAAUGGGUACUAGAGAGAAACUUACUAGCUCAUAUAGAAACAAAGAUUAUUUAAAGAGUUUUCAUAAUCCUUUUACAUCCAACUCUAUAGAUCUAUGUCUUUCAAGCCAAUGGUAAUUCCUAUAAAUUUGGAGUUUUGGUCCCAAGGAUUUUCUUUUCUCUUUGAGGGCUGUGAUUAACUUUUAUGUGGGGUGAAAAAUCCCCAACAUUUUCCACCUUAGGUUCCUUCGCAUACUCUGAAUCAUGCCAGCAACAGGUGGUAGGACUUGGUGGUUUUGAGAGUAAACUGGAAAUCAGGUGCAACAAGUUUAGUUAACAUUUCAGGGACUGAGUCACUGAUUCUCGGCAGUGGUAUUUCAAGUUAAAAGUUCCCAGGAAAACAAGAGUUCCUCACAGACUUCCCAACACACAUGAAUUCCUCGUUCCUGGAUAUUCCCUUUCUCUAAAUGGGACAAGGUAGGAUGCAGAUAAUUUAAAAGGAGAAAUGCUUCUUUCCUGAUCUUUGAAAGGCUAACAGCUCUGAGAGUAAAUGGAUAACUCCAUAUCUAUUGAUUGCAUCUGUUCUUAAGCUAAAUACCUCCAAGGCACACACACACUCUACCACUCACUCAUCCCCCCCAACCAGCUUUCGUUUGCUCAUGGUGUGGUGAAAAUAUGUGCUUUGGAGUCUGAAAGACCUGGGUUCAAAUGCUGCUCUGUCCUUUACCAGCUAAUUUAGCUUGGGUGAGCCACUUCCCCUCUUACAGGUUCUGUGUUCUCAAUUGUAAAAAUGGGGAUAAAAUCAUCUACUUAGAGGAACUAUUAUGAAGACUAAAUGAGGUACACCGAAUAUAGAAACAACCAUCACAUAAUGGAUAAUCAAUAAUUUUUCGUGCCCUUUGUCCUAGAACUCUUGAGAAAAUUUUCUAAUGUUUACUUAAAUGAUAUGAGGGAGUGGGAGUUAUUGGGCCAUAGAGAAGUCUCCUCUUCCAUUCCUCCUGCCAUGCACAUUUUCCUCUCAAAACAUGCCCCAACCCAACUGGCUGUCACUUUUGUUCUUUGCUGAAUUGUUCUUGAGUGGCAUGAAGAUAAAAACUGGUGCUCCCCUUAGUUUAUCAGCUGCUGGCUUUGUAAAGUUGUGGCAUUGUAACUGCGGUAUGAUUACACACAGAGAAAAGGAACCAGGAACCCUGUAACUAGCAAGGAAAUCGAGGCACAAAUUCCUGAGGAGAUUCUCCACAGGAAACUACAUGGUGAAUUAAACACAGCCUCAAUGCAUCAACAGUUAUCACCUAGAUCUAGGACUUAUUAUUUCCAUAUGGGCAUAAAAAAGAACUUUAAACAAAAGUGAAAUAAGAAGGCAGGAUACAAUUAAGUACCAACAAUGCACAAGGUACUAAGACUUCUAGGUCAAAGUACUUGAAACUUCUUACAAGUGAGAUUAGGACAAUCACAACAUGCAAAAGUCAAAACUUUCAGCAAAUGCCAGACAUUCAGUCGUGCUUUGCUUUUAUCUUGAAAAAAAUCCAAAUUCUAGUUUUAGACUAGCGUGUUUAAACACGUUUAGUGAGACACGCAGAAAUACAAAUGCUCUUGUUUCCAGCCAACGUAGUCUCCAAUGAAGGUCUCCUGAUCAAUAAUUGAAUCUAUUCCAGACAAAAUUGUUCGAGGGAGUCAAUACUAAAAGAGAACGGUUUUAACCCCAUCUUGGAGCAACUACGUUUUCUUGUUUUGCAGGUAAUAACAACCCACUUAGUUCAUGGGAAUGAAGCAGUGGAGAAGCCAGCCAACUUUUGCAAGAUAGUAGAGCCGAGAAUGGCUGGCAAGACCUAGGGAGCCUCCCCUGCACAAGCUUGUAAAAGGCCAGUUCUUGGGUUUUGGACAUGGCAGCAUGAUAAAGGAGCCCCUUUGUUUCAACAUAAUUGUCAACAGUUUGGUUGGACUGUCUUAUCUUUUUCAAACAGCUGAUGAGAAAACAAUCAAGCUGUGCUUUCCUAGGAUAUUUAUGAAAUCUGUCAGUAUUAUCAAAACAUUUAAAUGACAAAUCAUAAAUAAAAUAUUAUAUGUUAUAGCAACAUCUUUAUGUCAAGCCCUAUAAAGGGAAUUCUUGAAUGGGUACAGUAUAGAAACCAUAAUUAUAAAUGCCAUUUUGUUAUAAAACAUGGCUUGUGAAAACUUUAAACAUUUUUUUAAAAAAACAUGGCGUGUGUGUGUGUAUGUGCUGUUUGAGUUUUGGGUUUGGUUUUUUUUUUCCUGUUUCUUGGGCCGCUCCCGAGGCAUAUGGAGGUUCCCAGGCUAGGGGUGCGGGCCUAAAAAGCAAGCAAGCAAGCAAGAAAAGGAGAAAAAAAAGAAAAUCUGACAACACACUUACCCUGAGCAGCAACUGUGAGCUUUGAGGGCCACCUAGCCAGCAACUUACCUCUGACCUUGCAUGCUACUGCCUAUGCCAAGACUGUGGGGGUGGGAGGAGGGUGUAACAACUACGCCCACUUUUAGGUUAUGCUGCUUCCUGACAAAGCGUGGGCAGAAGCACAGGUCUCAAGACUUAGACGCAAUACUUUUUUACAUGACAUAAAGCUUGGAAUGUCUGCUUUAAAAUUGUUGUUUUUUUCUAAGAUUUGGAACUCCAGCCCCAACCCUUAUGAGCUCUGUGACACUAGUAAAACUAUAUUCUGCUCUAUGCCUCAUUCUUCCCCCAAAUAGGAAUAAUAACAGUUCCUACCUCUCCGGGAUGUUAUGAAUUAACUGUAGUGAGUUAAUAUUUGUCAAGUGCUUAGAAAAGUGUCUGAUACACACAGCGUUGGUUAAAUAAACUGCAUCUUUCAACAAAAUCUUUAUGGAAAACAGCGUAUUCACAGACAUAGUCUAAAGUUGUUAUUAUAAGUCAAAUGCUUCCUCUACUUUGUCUUAUUCACAACACAUGCUAUUUUGCCUCUUGAUCCCAAUUACAAGAUAAUCCAAAGAACUGGAGUUCCUGUCGUGGCUCAGGGGAAAUGAAUCUGACUAGCAUCCAUGAGGAUGCAGGUUUGAUCCCUGGCCUUGCUCAGUGGGUUAAGGAUCCAGUGUUGCUGUGGCCGUGGCAUAGGCCGGCGGCUACAGCUCCAAUUCAACCCCUAGCCUGAGAACCUCCAUAUGCCACAUGUGCAGCCCUAAAAAGAAAAAGAAAAAAAAAAAAAUUCCAAAGAACUAUCAGAAACUUACGCCACUGUUUAUUAACUAAUUUGAAAAAAAAAUAAGAUAUGUGUUAUGCAUUGUGUCUUUAUGUAACUGUUAGCCAAAUUUUUUAUUUGCAUUACUGUAUUCAAGAUGCUAUAACCUAACUUCUAAUAAAUGAGACUCAGGGUGGCUGGCUUGAAAUGGCACACAACAGUAUUAAACAUAGUUCGGCAGCCAACUUCUUCAUCACAAAAUAUGUUGCCAAACUUAACACUAACUUACUUUUACUCAUUUAACUUCCACACAUGGGAAGGUUAAAAAAAAAAAAAAGGCACUUGUUAAUUCUGAGUUUUAUUUUUCUGUGUUAGCUACAGGUUCAACUUGUCCUCAUCUUCUCUUUGUUGAUGAGAGAAGCCGGGGAUACCAUGAGUGAACUUUGGAUGCUCUGCCUCAUUGUGUGGCUUGAGGUUUCCCGGUAUUUUAUCAAAAUGAUCCCUUGUCUUGAAAGAUCUGUCAUUGCUUCACUUGCACUGAAUAGGCUAAUCCAAGAGACACACAGUGCUAUAAAGACAGCACUAAGGCAGUGCUCAUUCUCUAGAAUGAAGGAUUCUUAUAAAUUUGAAUCCACUGAGGUAUUCUGAUGAGGCAUUUGGGUUAGUCCAAUGCAGCUGUGUUUUAAAGGAGCACUAGAUGAGCUAAUGAGACUCAACUGACUGGCUUUUCUUGCCAAACUUUCCACAAGUGUCAGAUAUUCAUAUGAUUUUAUCUUGAAAACUCACUUUGGGGCAAGAUGUUGAAUUCACAUUUCAAACCUCUCUUGGGUAAAAGUCCACAAUUCAUUCUUCUAAAGUGAAUAUAUAAAAAUACACCUAUUGGAUAUGCCAGGCAAUUUCAUAUGAAAAUAAAGAUAGGUUGUUUUUAAGGAAGAAUACCUUGCUUUUAGAACAUGGGCUAUGCUGGACUUUUUUUGAGAGAGACUCCAGAAUUAUCUUGACAGAGACUGAGUAGACACCAAGUUAGCUGUGUACCCUAAAUAACAAUCCUCUUUGAAUCUAAAAAAUGUCAAGAACCACUCAUUUGCAGCCUAUAAUUUUAGAGUGUCAAUAUCACGUUUACCUGUAACUUCAGCCAAGGUUUUCAAAUCCAUAUGUCACAUUCCAAGCCCAAUCUUUAUUCCUAGAUGCCAAAAUAUGACAGAAGAGCUGAAAUAAUCUCAAACUCCAGAUAUUUGAAAUGGAAAAUUAUUUAUGCAUAAUCCUAAAUACAUGAUUCUCUUUGUUCUGAAUGCCGCUGAAAAAAUAAGUUUCCAUGAUUUUUCUUUUGCUCCAGUACUGGGUAUAGUUUAAGAUGAUCAUAACCUUAAGAAGAUUUAGAGCCUUUGAUGAUCUCCAUAUGAGAAUUAGAAAAAAAUCUAAUUAUUCAGUAUGAGCAAAACUUCUUCAUGAGAGAAAAAAACUUUCUGCUCCAAGAUAACCUGCCUGACCUCAACGCUUUUGAUUAAAUCUUUUAUUUCUGCUUUUAAUGCAUCAUAUGCUACUUUAUUCAUUUUUACUCAUAUGCCCCAUCCUGCACUAGACUCUGAGUUUCUUAGGAGCAGAGAUAACCUCUAAUUUCAUUGUUCUAUUUCCCAGUGCCUGGUAUAGAGUAAGUGCUCAAUAACUGUUUGUCGAACAUAAGAAACUUCUGUUUAAAUUCUGGUUGAUAUCAUUUCAAUAAAAUACAGAGGGAAUCUGUGCCAUAGAAUAAUCCAUCAUUAAUCCUAGAAAAAUGAUUCUAUAGGCCAGAUUGCAUUGCUUUUCAUGAACAGGAUCUCUAAACCUCUUAUUCAACAGGUAAAACAUGAAAUGGAGAUUAAACAACUAUUAAAUUUUUUUCAAGGUAAACAGAAAUGCAUACAGUUCAAUAUUCAAUCUCACGACUCAAUUUUGAAAUAAACGAAUCGCAUUUUUUUCCUACAUGGACAUUCCUGAAACACAAUGACCCUUUAAGUGAACUGAAAGUCUAAGACAAAUGUUUUUAAUGUUCAUUAUAAGGUGGACAUUUUAAAUAAAUAUUAGGAGUUAGAAUAUAAAUUUCAAUAUUGAAUAUCUUUGCUACAUUGUUUUAAUCAUGGAUGGAUAGUAAAGCUGUGAUUUGCUGUCUCAUCCUUAAAAAUAAAAUGUAUCAUGGAAAGCUAAAGAAGAAAAAAGAAAGGAAACUGAGCCCAGAGGUGCUACCGGUCUCCACAAAUGCUCAUGUCACUUGGAUAAGGACUAAGAAGAUUAUAACUGAAAGAGUAGUAAUACAAUGACAGAGACAAGUGGCAAAGAAUUAUGCUGUACCAAACAUUGACUCCAAAAUCACUCUAGGAAAAACGCCUCUAACUUCAAACUUUAUCUUUGGUUUCCUAAAUCAGACUUUGAGAUUGAAUGUACAAAGGGCCAACUUUUACAGCUAGAAAGGUACUCCCAGAUCCUCAAAGGUACUUCAAGUCUUAACAGGCCUGGUUACAACUUCUUCCGGGCUUCUAAAGUUGUUUGACUCCAUUUACAAAGUACAAAUGGAUUUAUGGAUGCUAUCACAUACUAUGCAGACAACAAUCACAGCUUCAGUGCCACAAUCAUGCCUGUUCCCACCACCUUUCAUCUGUCCAGCACCUGCUUCAGGCUGGGCCCUGGGCCAGGUGUUUUACAUAGAUAGUAUCUAACCCUCAGAGAGCCCCUAAAGGAAAGUGUUAUUGUCCCCACUGAACAGGUGAGGAGGCUGAGGCUUAAAGACUGAGGCUUAGCCAAAAGUAUCCAAAUGGCAGAGGCAGAUUUGGAACUGAGUCUGUGCAACACCACAGUCUAUGCCUUUUCAUUGCAGUGUGCUACAAUUUAUUGAGCCUCUGUGAACUUCCAGACACUGUGAUAAUUGUUUUAAUAUAUAUUUAGAAGUCUCUAAAAUAAUGAUAGGAGGUAGGUCUCAGAUCAUGAAAGUGAAAUUAGAGCAGUAAAGAAACUUUUCCCAGGAGUUCAUUGCUAGUAAGCGAUAGGGCUAAAAUUUAAAUUCCUGCUUUAUCAGUGGUAAAAGAACACAAACCUAAAAUUUCAAACUCUUGCCUUUGGCAUAAGCUAAACAUACUGGGAUAAACCCAAUAUAUAUUAACCAAUUUAGAGGCAAUAUUAGAUAAAACAGACUUAUCUAGCUAUAUCGUUUAUGUUAGAAAUUAAACCUGUUUAGAGUUCUAAACACUAAACCCGCCUCAAGAGGCUGGAAACUAGAAUCAAGUCAUGAAGACUCACACACUACAGUUCUAGAAUGCUUUCCAGUAAUGUUUUAAAGGAUUAUUCUUUUUCUGAUGGGAUAAAACAACAGUUUAACCUCACAAAAUUCUAGUUAUAUAAAUAGGGAGUAGGUUGUUUUCCCUUUGUAGAAGGAACAGGUCAAUGCAAGGACAAAAAAACUAAGGGACUAUUGACAGUCCUCAAACUUGAGCCUACGAGUCCUGAAAUGAGGAUGCCCUGCUCUCUGACACCAGCUGCAUUUUUCCUCCAAACGAAAUGAGGAUCUGCUCAUCUUCAGAGGAUUAGGAGGCCCACCUAGCACCGGAGUUUGGCAUCCCCACAGAGAGCAUUAAUGUCUGCUUCUAGGUUUGGAGCUCAGUUCGAGGGAGAUCAUCUUUAAUUCACUGCAUUGACCUUUAGCUAAGAGCCCACUUCUAAUCAAAACAACACUGGGCGCCUUGAUUAGGGAAAAUAAAAAGGAAGUAUUAUUUCCAUCAUAGAGCAGAAAGUAAACACAUCAAAUCACUACUCAAAAGGAGGUACAGGCAAGAUACUAGUAAGAAAAGGGAGAAACAGCUCCCACUUACUAAGCGCUCACAAUGUGCCAGUCACUGCUCUGAGCACUUGACAUGCAGUCACUUGUUUACGUUUAUAACAACUCAUAUUAUGCCCCUCUUAUAGAUGAGAAAACCAAGACACAAAAAGGUUAGUGACUUGCUUAGGAUGACACGGCUGUGUCACAAUAAGUAGAAGAGGGAUUUAAAGGAAGAUGGAGAAUCCAUACUCUGGAUAAACUGUUUACAACAGGAAGUAUAAUUCAAGACCUAAUAAAUGGUGUGCCACUAAGGGCUGCUAAGGAAGGUCUGGCCACAGCUCACCAGGCCCUCUCACCCACAUCCCUCCAUCCCUCUGAUGGCAAGAGAAAUAUGUACGAGACAAGACAUCAGGCUGGCCCUGGAGGGCAAUGGCUAUAUUUCUAUGGGAAAUAGCAUGUGACCAUGUUUACCAACACCAAGCUGACAAAAACCUUUAAGGGUCAAUUUUAGGAAGAGAGGCAGCACAUGUACAAAUUAUUUUAUGUAAAGAAAGCAGGCAAUGGUCACUGAUUCUUAAAACAUCUACACCAAAAUAUUCACAAAUAUUUGCAGAGUACAGAAAUGCGAUGUCAAUAAACUUUAAACCAUCGUUGGAAUGGUAAGCUCUUUUAGGAAGAGAAGCAUUUCCCCCUCCAACCAACUCUAUAUAUAUAUAUUUUUAUAUUUCUCCCAUUAGACCUUUGCAUUUCCAAUGAUGAUGACGAUGUGAUGGUUUUACAUUUACUGAGUUUCUAGUCUGUGUCCAGAGUGUGAUGAGUUUUACAUUUGAUAACAUAAACUAUCAUUUGAUAUUCACGACAGCCCUGCAGCAUUAGUACAACUAUUUUCUCCAUUUUCCAAAUGAAGAAGCUGAGACUCAGAAAGGUGAAGUAACUUGCCCGAAGUCAUGCAUCCAGGACAUAAACUCAUUUUUGUUUGCUCUUAAAGCCCAUAAUAUUAACCAUGUAUGCCCAGCUGACAAGUGUGGCCACCUGACUGUCCCAUCCUUAUAUAGAGACCAAGGCCAUAGAGAGGGCUACACAUUCCAGCUGAGGUCCACCACCUCCAAAUCCUGGACAGAAAUGAACGAAAGUGGGCAGAAGGCUUGAGAGAGUCACACUG